GCAGUCUGAAACUCGAGUGCAUGAAGCUGGAAUCGCUAGUAAUCGCAAAUCAGAAUGUUGCGGUGAAUACGUUCCCGGGUCUUGUACACACCGCCCGUCACACCAUGGGAGUUGGCAACACCCGAAGUCGAUGAGCUAACCUUUUAGGAGGCAGUCGCCUAAGGUGGGGUUGAUAACUGGGGUGAAGUCGUAACAAGGUACC
This 202-nucleotide ribosomal RNA is filed under the name uncultured bacterium. RNAcentral describes it as "partial 16S ribosomal RNA". It matches the Rfam family "Bacterial small subunit ribosomal RNA", at positions 1300 to 1500 of the family's 1533-position model. The record is from RNAcentral.